GGAGACAGAGUAAAAGUCUAACAAAGAACCCUAGGUGCAGCCUUAGAGUUGUCUUGAAGUCGAGUAUUAGAGGUGGGACUGCGGGCAGAAGGAUAGACUGUCUUCAGCAGCGCAUAGGGGCCUAGACAGGACAUAUUUUUGUAUUAGGGAGUGUAGAUAGGUUAGAGCAUUAUUGUGUAGAGUUGUAAACAGUACUGGAAUUUAAAAAAAAUAUCGAAUAAGAAGCCAAUGCAGGGACAGAGGGAGGAGGUGGGGGAGGUGCUGGUGGACAGGCAGGUGAGCUUCACCGCCACAUUCAUUAUAGACUGUAACGGGGCAAGCGAACUGCAGUUGUCUAGGCGAGAGAAGUUAGUGGUAUGGAGCAGGGCAGAAACCUUCUGCUGUAGCAAGGGCAAAUGAGCAUAGAACAGCAGAGUGGGUGCGGUUGGGGAAAGUAUUUGUAGGGGAAGGAAAGAGAUGAGAGAUCUCUUGUAUGAUUGUAUAAAUCUCGGUGAAGUGAGUUGCAAAGGUUGUGGAGGUCAAGUUGGUAGGAGGAGGAGCAAUAGGGCAGCGAGAAUUAAAAGUGUGAAAUAAGCGUUUGGGUUUGCAGGAGAGCAUAGUUAUGAGAUUAUUGAAGUAGUGUUUUUUGGUAGAGCAAAAAAAACAAGUCACAAGAGAGUGCUGAGGACGGACAACAGCUCAAUCAGCCUGCCUUUCGGUGGAUCCCCGCUCAGUUCUCAAGCUGGUUUUAGCUCAUCUUGUGCCAUUACAGAGAGAACCAGACCAUGCAUCUCAGACUGAUUCCACCCAAAAGAGCAGAACAGAUCCAAAAUACAGGCCAGCUCGCUCUGCACAAGAGAUACAGCAACCCCAGUCGAUCAUUUCAGCCUUGUUAGGCAUCAUCAGUGAGGAAUAGCUGAUACUUAGUGCUUUUUUUGUUUGUUUUUUGCAAAGGAAAGAGCCAAACUGUAAGAGUGCAGCAUAACUUUUUUUAGGAGGGCUCAACCAUUCUGGAAGACUUCUGGAGGUAUCGAGUCAGCUUUGUGUACCGAGGUUGUAAUUGGGGGCGCUUGCUGCGUUUAAAUGUAAGAGGUGCCAUGAUGUCUAGUUGAGAUGUAAGGGUGGAGUAGUUUAGGAAGGUUGCAGAGUUUGGGCGGGUGAGAUGGGUAAAAAAAAUGGAGGUUGGGGGAGAAUCUCUGUAGGUCAAGAUAGUGGAGGGUUCUGUGAGACUGAUGUCCUGACGGUGGUGUAAUUUGGAUUCGGGCAUGGAGAUAUUAAAGAUCAGCAAAUGGUGGUCUGAUAGACGGAAUGGAAGAUUGGGCAGAUUAGAGGCGGAACAGAGAUUGGUGAAGAUCAAUUGGUGGUCAAGAGUGUUUCCCGCUGUAUGAGUUGCUGAAUUAGACCAUUGUGUGAGGCCAAAGGAGGAUGUUAUAGAGAGCAGACAACUGGCAUCAAGACAGUUGGGGUUGUUGAUUGGGAUAUUAAAGUCACCGGGUAUAAGGAAAGGAGUUCUAGAGGAGAGGAAGUGGGGUAGCAAAGAGCUAAAAGUGUUUCAUGAAUAGACUAGGAUGAAUAUAUAAUAUAUAUGCUCUACGGAAUCUGUUGGC
Molecule: non-coding RNA, 1586 nt
Organism: Pelobates cultripes (western spadefoot toad)
Lineage: Eukaryota; Metazoa; Chordata; Amphibia; Anura; Pelobatidae
Source: the annotation of a GenBank genome assembly